Long non-coding RNA from Triticum aestivum (bread wheat), 1055 nucleotides. RefSeq lists it as uncharacterized. The transcript is spliced from 3 exons. Lineage: Eukaryota; Viridiplantae; Streptophyta; Magnoliopsida; Poales; Poaceae. The record is from RefSeq and is a predicted model, not a curated record.
UGAGCUGUCCCAGCUAGCAUGGAAGUGGACGGCGGCCGAGGAAUAGUGAGACCGACCAGGGGUGGGCGGUACCCCGUGCAUAUGGCGUGUGCGGCGGCCGCUCCUUCUGCCGACCGCAUGGCGAUGGAAGCUUACGGGCUGGAAUUCCUCCUAGAUCCAGUAGAGUAGACUGGUUUCCACUUAGGGAGGGGUCUGCGGACAGUUUGGAACACCCAAAUCCGGUGCCUUUAGCGCUGCUGCCGCGCCCCGAGGUCGAACUCCGGGCCUGGCUGUGGGGGACUGCAACCAUGGGAUAUCCGGAUGUGAGGUUCGGUGAAGGAAGAAUGCUUCACCGACACGGUCUGCACAGUCCACUGGGAAGGUGAAUCCGGAAGUAGGGUGGACGAAGAGGAACAUCGCCUUGUGCAUUGCAAGAAGCUUGACCAUUGUAUUUUUGAUGAUGUUGGUAAGCUAUUAGUACUAAGAAAGAAAGGGAUUGAAGCGGUGAUAUUAUAUUUAGAAUGCGUAUACUUGCAAUUAAUGGAGCUAGUUCGGAUUGGAACGCCUCAGUGCCAUCUUAUGAUCUCGUGUUGGGUCGAAAGAAGGAUAUAAUAACGGAGGCAACACCGGUAGGUGAAACUGCAGAAUCAGCUCAUAAGAAAAUUACAGAGUCAGCCGCAGUGAGGCGGAUAUGAUGGAUAACGAGAACAACGUCACACUGUUGGGCAAUUGGCAUGCGCUAGCUGAUCUUGCAGCGCCAAUCAAGAUAAGGGGUGCUGGAAGACCAACAAUGAGUAGGGAGAAGGCGUCCUGUGAGGGUUUGAGUAAGCGGAAAAGGUUCUGCAGUAUCUGUAAACGCCCGGGGCACAAGCAGACUACAUGCCCAGAAAGUGAGGGGACUUGCCGAAGCAGCCUCGCAAGCCAGCAAGAUUCAAGUUGCAUUUUAGGAAAAUUAAGCUUGCAUGAAUAAAUUUGAGGAUUUUCUAGUGUACAAUUCGUACUGGAAAAAACGCACACUAAUAUUUUCAUAAGGAACUGUACUGUUUUUAUGAACUGAAUGUCAUUGUUUGUCUGUU